This 69-nucleotide transfer RNA is filed under the name Eucrate crenata. Its description in RNAcentral is "tRNA-Gln". The record is from RNAcentral. Lineage: Eukaryota; Metazoa; Arthropoda; Malacostraca; Decapoda; Goneplacidae.
UAUAUAUUAAUGUAAAGCGCAUGAGAAAUUUUGAUUUUCUAAGUGAUAGUGCAAUUCUAUUAUAUAUAU